Molecule: transfer RNA, 69 nt
Filed under: Cavia porcellus (domestic guinea pig)
Lineage: Eukaryota; Metazoa; Chordata; Mammalia; Rodentia; Caviidae
Rfam family: tRNA
About the family: Transfer RNA (tRNA) molecules are approximately 80 nucleotides in length.
Source: Rfam by way of RNAcentral
GGUGAAGUAGCUCAAUGGUAGAGCUCUUGCCUUGCAUGCAUAAGAUCUUGGGUUCAGUCCCUUCCACCA